UAGGUAUGACGGUUUUACAUAAUUAAUAUUUUUUGAUUAUAAAAUAAAAUUUUAAUUUUAAGUAAAAAUGCUUAAAUAUUUAUAAGGGACGAUAAGACCCUAAAAACUUAUAUGUGAAUUUAUUUAUAAGAUUAAUAAUGAAUAGAAACAGAUUUAGCUGGGGAAGUGCGUUAAUAAUAAUUUAGUUUUAUAUUAACUUUAAACUUAGAUUAAAGUUCCUUAAAAUUAGGAUAAUUAGAUAAAGUUACUUUAGGGAUAACAGGGUAAUAAAUUUGAAGAGAUCUUAUCGAUAAAUUUGAUUACGACCUCGAUGUUGAAUUAAAAUAGUUUUAUAGAGUAGAAAAUAUAAAAACAGGUUUGUUCAACCUUUAAAUUUUUACAUGAUUU
This 387-nucleotide ribosomal RNA is filed under the name Phoxocephalinae sp. BOLD:ACZ2229. RNAcentral's name for it is "partial 16S ribosomal RNA". Lineage: Eukaryota; Metazoa; Arthropoda; Malacostraca; Amphipoda; Phoxocephalidae. The record is from RNAcentral.